UUGACCUCAAAUCAGGUAGGACUACCCGCUGAACUUAAGCAUAUCAAUAAGCGGAGGAAAAGAAACUAACAAGGAUUCCCCUAGUAACUGCGAGUGAAGCGGGAAAAGCUCAAAUUUAAAAUCUGGUGGUCUUUGGCCAUCCGAGUUGUAAUCUAGAGAAGUGUUAUCCGCGCUGGACCGUGUACAAGUCCCCUGGAAUGGGGC
RNAcentral lists this ribosomal RNA (204 nucleotides) under Pleurotus abalonus. RNAcentral describes it as "partial large subunit ribosomal RNA". It matches the Rfam family "Eukaryotic large subunit ribosomal RNA", at positions 1 to 201 of the family's 3401-position model. Lineage: Eukaryota; Fungi; Basidiomycota; Agaricomycetes; Agaricales; Pleurotaceae. The record is from RNAcentral.